AGAGUUUGAUCCUGGCUCAGGACGAACGCUGGCGGCGUGCCUAAUACAUGCAAGUCGAGCGUUUCUGAUGGGAGCUUGCACCCUGAUGAUUAGCGGCGGACGGGUGAGUAACACGUGGGUAACCUGCCUGUAAGACUGGGAUAACUCCGGGAAACCGGGGCUAAUACCGGAUAACUUUUUUCUUCGCAUGAGGGAGAAUUGAAAGAUGGCCUCUGCUAUCACUUACAGAUGGACCCGCGGCGCAUUAGCUAGUUGGUGAGGUAACGGCUCACCAAGGCGACGAUGCGUAGCCGACUUGAGAGGGUGAUCGGCCACACUGGGACUGAGACACGGCCCAGACUCCUACGGGAGGCAGCAGUAGGGAAUCUUCCGCAAUGGACGAAAGUCUGACGGAGCAACGCCGCGUGAGUGAUGAAGGUUUUCGGAUCGUAAAACUCUGUUGUUAGGGAAGAACAAGU
RNAcentral lists this ribosomal RNA (458 nucleotides) under uncultured bacterium. RNAcentral describes it as "bacterial SSU rRNA". It matches the Rfam family "Bacterial small subunit ribosomal RNA", at positions 8 to 454 of the family's 1533-position model. The record is from RNAcentral.